GUAUGUUUGAAAAACAUUAGCAAAGGCAAACUCAAUGAUGUCACGUGUAAACGAUUGGAAACGGUUUGUGAGGGCUUUGCUCUACUUCCUCUUUGUACUAUAGAUAUACAGAUAAUUCAGAAGACUGUGGUUAUAAGCUGCAUCACAAACCAAAAGAGAUAGGACUCUGCAAUGCAGCGCAUUUUGAUAUUCAUUAUUUCUUGGUGUUGGAUAAAUUAUUUAAACAUUACUUGGGCCAGUCCUUGUAAAACCACUACUAGGAGAGUUGAGUCAUAUCAGAAGAGGGAAUGCACACGUUGGUUUUUGGGAUGGUGUACCCAGUAUACGUGGAUCUGGAGAUACAGGAAGACCUUCACCCAAACUUGUUGUCCUGGAUACGGUGGAAGUAACUGUCAACGUAAGUAUAGUAACAAAUUGCUGUUCUUUAACAAAUGAC
This is a long non-coding RNA of Saccostrea cuccullata (small rock oyster), 436 nucleotides long. RefSeq lists it as uncharacterized. Lineage: Eukaryota; Metazoa; Mollusca; Bivalvia; Ostreida; Ostreidae. The transcript is spliced from 3 exons. The record is from RefSeq and is a predicted model, not a curated record.